This is a small RNA of Pseudomonas sp., 286 nucleotides long. It matches the Rfam family "5' ureB small RNA". The record is from Rfam. Lineage: Bacteria; Pseudomonadati; Pseudomonadota; Gammaproteobacteria; Pseudomonadales; Pseudomonadaceae.
CUUCUUCGAUCUGUUGCGGGCAGAUGAAGUGAAUAUGCGAGUCGAUCCCGCCGGCGGUGAGAAUCAUGCCUUCACCGGCGAUGACCUCGGUGCUGGCGCCGAUGGCGAUGGUCACAUCCGGCUGGAUGUCAGGAUUGCCGGCCUUGCCGAUGGCGGCGAUCCGACCGUCCUUGAGGCCCACGUCAGCCUUGACGAUGCCCCAGUGGUCGAGGAUCAGUGCGUUGGUGAUCAGCGUAUCGACCACCUCCGCCGCGCACAGCUGGCCUUGGCCCAUGCCGUCGCGGAU